Long non-coding RNA from Homo sapiens (human), 15785 nucleotides. RefSeq lists it as uncharacterized. The record is from RefSeq and is a predicted model, not a curated record. The transcript is spliced from 2 exons. Lineage: Eukaryota; Metazoa; Chordata; Mammalia; Primates; Hominidae.
AUUCUCUCUCGUCUGCCACCAUGAAAGAUGUGCGUUUCACGUUCCACUAUGAUUGUGAGGCCUCCCCAGCUGCAUGGAACUAGACAAGGUCUCGCUAUGUUGCCAAGUUUGGCCUUGAACUCCUGGCCUCAAGCAAUCUUCCCACCUUGGCCUCCUGAGUUGCUGGGAUUUCAGUUAACUUAUCAAAACAGUAAUGCUAUGUCAUAAUAUCACAUAGUUUUGAAACCGUUUUCAGUGGGAAGUGCUUUGUAGAUUUCUUCUCAUUCAUUCUUUUGCUAUCUGUAUUUUUAAUAUAUUAUUUAUAAAUUUGAUCUUGUUUGUUCCUAUGUCAUCUCUAUUGUAGGACUUACCAUCAUAUAAUCUAGUAGUAAGUUUUAUGAGAGCUCUCCGUGCCCCAUAGUCUCAUUGAACCAACCAUCUCUGUUUCUUCAGCACCUCAUGGAGCUGAAUGUUUCUUUUUACACUGUGAAUAAAGGGACAGGUGAGUUGUUGGAAUGUUCUCUGAUUUUGGGGAAUGGAGAAUCUGGGUUCAUACAGUGAAGGCUUUCGUGACAGCCUGGUCUGCUUACUGAAAGCUUCAGCUUUCUUUUAAUGCUUAGUGUAUAGAUGUGAUAAAAUCACUCACAGAAACAAUGAUUCGUCUUCCUAGACACAUCUGUAGGAGUUCCUUGAAGGACAGUGGAUCUAGUCCUAAAUACUUUAUAUUCACCCCUUCAAUGAGUAAUCAACUUCACUCCAUCCAGAAGUUGGGUAGUUAGGAACUUGAAAACAAUCUAAGAAACUUUUGCAAUUUCAGGCUUAAAUGAUAGUGUAUGUAAAUGUACAUGUUUCUGUCACAUCAUAGAAAUUAAAUCCAGGAGCCAAAGAAGCCUUUGUUAAUUUUCCUAGAAAGAGAAGCAAGGGGAAAAAAAGGGCGAGUCUAUCCAGAAAACCGCUAAGUGAUCUGUGGCUAGCAGGGCAUCCCACAAUUAUAAACAUUUUUUUGAAAUUAUCUAGGCAGUAUCAUAGGUCUUAUUUCAUAACAUCUCAAACUAAUAUCAAAGAGAAAAAAAAACUUCUAACUUAUUCCUUUGAAAUAUAAUUGAUGGCCAUAAGUCCCAGUAGGCUUACCAGAUUCUUCCUUGGGAGCAGGAAGUAAAUAUGACAACAGACCAAGACUAAAGUGAUACCAACAUGGAACUUCAGUCUGUUCAAAUAGGAAGAUGGGCCAGGACCCAUCUUAGAGUUGUGGUGUCCAGUAUGGUAGCCAUGAACUCCAUUUGGCUCUUUAAAUUAAUGAAAAUGAUAAAUAAUUUAAAAACUGGUUUCUCCCUCACACCAGCCACAGUUCAAGUGGUCAGUAGCCACAUGUGGCUGGUGGACAUCAUAUUGGAGAGUGCAGAUUAUUAUACAAUGUUGUAUGUACGCAUUAUUGUCAUCGUGGAAAGUUCUUUUGGACAGGACUGGCUUACAGUCAGAGCUUUCACUGUUAGAAAGUGACCAGUCUAACUGAUUAGAAAGCAAGGGGUCACUAGCAGCAUUGGUUAGUUAGAUUGAAGGUCAAUAACUACAGUUUAGCUAGGUUUAGAAAUACAAGCAGAACAUGAUCUGGAUAAUAACUCUUUGCUGCUUAAUUGCUAACCAAAAACAGCCAGAUAGUGACCGUUUUGGAGGUGAAGGGGAUGGGAGAUUAGAUUGGCUUGUCUUUCAUAUGAAACCACUCUUGACUUUGAUGUGAAGUUUAAAGAUUUGAUCCCUUCCUAGGUCUUCUGCAUCCUAUUUUAAUAUGCUACCACUUACUUUAGAAAUUCUCAUAUCUGGAUUUUAUGAUGAUUGGUCUGGUGCUCCACAGACCUCACCAGAAACUUUAACGCUACGUGCCUUGGGCUUUCUUGCUGGAAAAUAUCCUGUGUAGAACACUCUGUCUGCCUCUAGGUAAGUGUCAUUUUCGGGGAGGGAAUCUCCCUGAGGACUUCUGCCAUUUCAGAUGAGAAAGCCCAGAAUUAUUCUUACAGCAUAAGAUGCCACAUAGUGGUUAUGAUAUGAAUAUAAGAAAUGACUUAGAGGAGAUGCGGGGGGGGUGCUGCUGCAAAUAUACAUUCAAUUGCUUGAGUAAAAAUCAAGGCAAGAAAGGUGGGCUUAAAUUAUAGAAAGGAAAAUGUGGGGUGGAUUUCUGAAAAAUGUGAGUGGCUUGUAGGAUUUCGCCGUGGGAAGUUUUUAAUCAGAAAAAUUGAAUACUUGAUGAACAUCUCUUACCUGGUCAAUUGCAACUAUCUUCCAAAUAGACUUUUUGUCAUUAGCAUUCACCAUGACUGCCUCUUCCCCACCUCACACACACACAACAGAUAUGUCCAUGUUCUAAUCCUUGGAAGGUGUGAAUGUGACCUUAUUUGGAAAAGAUGUUUUGCACAUAUAAUUAAGCUCAGAAUGCUGAGAUGAGAUCAUCCUGAAUUACUUGAGUGGGCCCUAAAUCCAAUGGCAAGUGUCCCUGUAAGAAACAGAAGAGGAGAAGACACGCAUAGGAGAAAAGGUGAGGUGAAGAUGAGGGCAGAGAUUGGCAUAAUGUGGCCAUGAGCCAAAGAAACUGGCAACCUCCAGAAGCUGGAAGAGACAGACGAUGGAUUCUUCCCUAUGUGUCCCUGCUAGCACCUUGAUUUCAGACUUCUGGCUCAGAUCUUUGGCUUCCAGAACUGUGAGAAAAUAAAUUUCUGUUGUAUUAAGCCACCAAGUUCAUGGGAAUUUGCUAUGGCAGCCAUGAGGCAUAAAUACAGAUACCCUCUGAUAUAUCCUCCAAGUCACUUCUAGAAUGACCCAUUUAAGACAUAAACAUUAUGCACAGCAUAAAGUCCAAGUCUCUUAGGAGAGCUUCCAAGGACCCCUUGAUCUGGCCUCUGGCUUCUUCUCUCAGUACACAGCUCUCCGGCACCCCCAUAACAUUUAAUAAGACUAGAGUCUCUUAUUACCUGGAUAUACUGUCUGUUUUACCCCACCGUAUCUUUGAACUUGCAGUUCUCAUCGUCUGUGAUGUCCUUUUGAGGCUUGUUCAUCCAUGGUAACUUUUUUUUUUUUUUGGAGAUGGAGUCUUGCUCUGUUGCCCAGGCUGGAGCGCAAUGGUGUGAUCUCAGCUCACUGGAACCUCUGCCUCCUGGGUUCAAGCGAUUCUUUGCUUCAGCCUCCUGAGUAGCUGGGACUAGAGGCACGUGCCACCACACCCAGCUAAUUUUUGUAUUUUUAGUAGAGAUGGGGUUUUGCCAUAUUGGCCAGGCUGGUCUGGAACUCCUGACCUUGUGAUUUGCCCGCCUCAGCUUCCCAAAGUGCUGGGAUUACAGGCGUGAGCCACCGCGCCCGGCCCAUGGUAACUCUUGAUCAUCUUUCAGUGUCCCACUCAGUGUCCCCUGUCUGUGAAGACAUGUUAGCCGACUUCCCUCUCUCACCCCCUUUUUCUCUGUGUCAUCUCUACAUCUUGAGUAUGUUCAUUAUGACACAGUGCUUUCUUACAUCCAUCCAUUCAACAACUUAGAACAUUAAAUUAAUUUUUAGUAGGUAAGAUGUUUAUGUUUCAAAAAUACAAUGAUAAAAACGGUAUCCAUGGAGAAGUCUUACUCCUAUCCAUUUUUUUUCUUUCUUUUCCCUACAGGUAAUCAUUAAAUUUUUUUUUUUAACUUCCACAGUUUCUUUAUGCAAAUACAUAAAUUUUCAUUAUACAAAGGCAGUGUACUACAUAUAUUGUUAUGAACUUUACUUUUUUCCAUUUUUCCAUAUCAUUACAUAAAGAUCUCCCCCAUUCCUUUUUUUUUUUUUUUUUUUUUUUUUUGAGACGGAGUCUCAUUCUCCCUGCACUCGCUGGAGUGCGGUGACGCGAUCUCAGCUCACUGCAAGCUCUGCCUCCCGGGUUCACACCAUUCUCCUGCCUCAGCCUCCCGAGUAGCCUGAACUACAGGCGCCUGCCACCAUGCCCAGCUAAUUUUUUUUUUUUUGUAUUGUUAGUAGAGACGGGGUUUCACUGUGUUAGCCAGGAUGGUCUCGAUCUCCUGACCUCGUGAUCUGCCCGCCUUGGCCUCCCAAAGUGUUGAGAUUACAGGCGUGAGCCACUGCGCCCGGCCUCCCCCAUUCCUUUUUUAUAGUUACAUAGUAUUCCAUCAUAUACAUGGUCCUAGAUAAUUUAACUAAUUCUCAAUUGUUGAACCACUGAAUUGUUUUCAUUAUUUGUUAUUAUAAAAAAUGCUUUAAUGAAAAAUUUUGUACAUGCAUUAUUUCAUAUAUAUGAAAGCAUAGGUAGAUUUCCAAAAGUUGGAUUUCUGGGCCAAAGGGCAAAUGUUACUGUCACUGUGCUAGACAUUGCCAGAUUUUCCUCCAUAAGCAUUGAACCAUUUCAUAUGAGACAGCCCAUGGGCAUACUCCGCAACACAAUAUUGUAUAUUUUGUUUUUUUGCCAAUAUGGUUGACAAGUGUCAUAGUUUUCUAUCGCUGAAUAACAAAUAAUCAUAAACUCAGCAGCUUAAAGCAACAUACAUUUAGUAUCUCACAGUUUCUGUGGUUCAGGAACCCAAGCACAACUUAGCUGCAUCCUCUUCUUAGGGUCUCAGGAGCUGCAAUCAAAAUGUGGGUUGUGACUGUGGUCUCACCUGAGGCUGAGAGUUCUCUUCCAAACUCAUGUGAUUGUUGGCAAAAGUCAGUUCCUUAUGGUUGUAAGAAUGAGGCCCUCAGCAAUGAGAAGCUGUCUGCAGUUCCUGGGCACAUGAGCCUCCCCAUAGACAGUUCACAUCACAGCAACUGGCUUCCACAAGGCUAGCAGGAAAGUCCCUUGCUAUGGUCUGUUAAAGUGGUGGAGUCUCAUACCAUGUAACCUAAUCACGGGAGUGUCAUCCCAGCACAUUUGCCAAACAACAAAACCUAGUCCAGGGGGUAACACCCUAUCACUGUUGUCAUAUUCUAUUGAUUAGAAGCAAAUCACAGGUCCUGGCCACACCAAGGAGAGGGGAUUGUACAGGCCCUAACACCAGGGGGUGGAGGUUGGCUAUCAUAAGAUUCUUCCCAUCACUGUGAGAAAAUAAAAAUCCUUUCUUUUUAUUAUGAGUAUUUUCAUAGAUUUAAUUACCACCUGUGUUUUUUCUUAGUGAACUGUCUGUUCAUAUUCUUUGUUUAUAUUUCCAUCCAACUUUUACUUUUCUUCUACAUUUCUAUGUGACAUGAAUUGCAAAUAUUUUCUUCCGUUUUGCACUUAUAUUUUUGAAUGCAAAGUUUACGAACUUACCAAUCUUUUCUUUUGACUUCUCAUUUUUGAGUCAUAGCUGUAAACGUCUCUUCCAUGCUAAGUAUAUAAAGAAAUUAAACUAUGUUGUAAUUUUUUUACAUCUAAAUCCUAAAUCCCAUUAGGAAGAUUUAUUUGAAUAUGGUAUGAUAUAUGAAUCUAACAGUGUCAUUUUUGAGAAGACUAUUUGGUUGUUCCAACAUUGUAUAUUAAAGUUCAUCUUUACCACCACAGAAUGAGUAUCACCUUUAUCAUAUACUAAAUUCCCACAUAAAGUAGAUUCUAUUUCUGGAAUUUAUCUCCUCUUCUCUAGUAUAUUUACAUAUGUCUCAAUAUGAUAUUGUUUUAAUUAUUGAAGUUUUGUUAUGUAUUCAUUGGCUUCUAAGACUUCUAUUCUGGAGAUUUCCUCAUUACUAUUACUAGUUUAUUUUCCACAUGACCUUUAGAAUUAGCUUAUCUAAUUCUAGAACAAAAUUUCUUUUUCAGUAUUCUUAUUAGUACUGUUAAAUUUAUGAAUUAGCUUAGAAAGAAUUGGCAUCUUUACCAUAUUAAGUUUUGGUGCAUUUACAAACUUGGUGUCUUUGUUUUUCAGAUAUAUACUAAUUUUUCUUCCCUCAUAUUGUUUUUGCAUAUUUAUUUUUAUUUUUAUUUUUAUUUUUGAGAUGGAGUCUCACUCUGUCACCCAGGCUGGAGUGCAGUGGCACGAUCUUGGCUCACUGCAACCUCCGCCUCCCAGGCUCAAGUGAUUCUCCUGCCUCAGCCUCCCAAGUAGCUGGGAUUACAGGCACAUGCCACCAUAUCCAGCUAAUUUUUGUAUUUUUAGUAGAGAUGGGGUUUCACCAUGUUGGCCUGGCUGGUCUUGAACUCUUGACCUCAGAUGGUCCACCUGCCUCGGCCUCCCAAAGUGCUGAGAUUACAGGUGUGAGCCACCAUGUCCGGCCACAUAUUUCUUAUUAGGUUUAUUCUUUGGUAUUUUGUGCUUUAUAGAUUUAUUGCUUUGGCCAUUAUACAUGACUCUUUUCCAUUACAUCUUCUACACGUUGUUGUUUGUAUAACGUGAAAACUAUUGCUUUCUAUAAAUUUUAUAUAUGCAUACAUUCUCACUUAGAAAACAUUUAUUGGGUCUCUAACAUAUGAUGGGCUUCUGUACUAGCGCUGAGCUCACAGUCACAAAAUAGCCAUGGUCCUUCCCCACAAUGAACAAAUGGCCUAGUAAAGAAGGCAGAAAGUAAACAUGUAAGCAAACUAAUUUAUAAUUACUAUUUGAAUAAAUGCUAUGAAGAUAAUGAGGAGUGUUCAGUCAUACAGAAUAAUUAUUUAAGUGUAUCUUCUUACCCACUUAGAGUCUUCGAGGGUUUGGUCCAUAACUUAUUUGUCUUUGGGUCCUCAGAGCCUCGCACAAUGCCCAGGAAAUAAAGCCACCAAAUAUUUAUUGAACAGAAUGGAACCAAAUUUGCUCUGAGCUCAGGGCCAAUGUUUUAAGUCCUUUAGCCACAAUGAUCAUGCAGUCCAAUUUUUCAACCAAAUUUAUAUUUUAAAUAUUGUGUUUCUAUAAAUAUAUUAUUCCAGUACUGGCCUAAGUAUUUGUUUGGAAAAUGGCCACUAGAGUUACAGCUUUCACCUAAAGUGGCCUUCCAUGUCUCUGGCCCAUGAGCAGAGUGGGCUUUUAAUCCUUAGCCUGAGUGUUUCAGAGACAAGUUAGCUGAAAGGGAUGCUCCCUUUGUAAAUUUUUGACUGAGGUGUCAAAGUUAAACUUAGGGUAUUGAGGCUAGCUGGAGCUUAUCUGUUCUUCCAGUCCAAGGUGUUAAGAUUUACAUCUUUAAUAACAGUAGGAAAGCAAGAGAAGACUGUAGUGGAAAAAAUUUUACUUUUAUGUACAGGCUUUCAUUGUUUCACUUUCCCUCUCCAAGUGUUAAUAAAAGGUAAGUAAAGAAUUUAGGGAUUAUUCUGUGAAUUUUUAUUUAUUUUUAGCCUAUGUGGCUCUGGAGCGAAUUUAGAUCAGCUUACAGGAAUAUAUAAAAUGCAGCCAAAUUAAAUACACUGGAAGAAGGUGAGAAAGAAAUGGGGCACGAAACAAAGUUGGAGACAUUUGAUAGACUUGCUGUGAGAAGGCUCAGGUUUUGGUUCUUAUCAGUUAGAAAACAUAUUGAGCAUAAGCACAAUUUAUAGUUCAAUUAAGAUUUAAAAAAAUUCCUAGUAAUGGCAAAAAUAUAUGUGGUGCUUACUCUGUCCUGGGCAUCAUUUUAAGCUUUUUAAAUGAAUUAAUUUAAUCCUUGCAACAACCUGAUGAGAUGAGUCCUAAUACUAUUCUGUCUUACAGGAGAAGAGCAACUAUUACUAAUAUUGAGAUAAGGGAGAAAACUAUUCAGAGGAUUUUCAUAAAGACGAUGCUGUGCAAUAGAAUGAGUAGCAUUCUCCAGUGUUUAUACUCUGGCACUGCAGUGAAUCUCACAUGUCUGCCUUUAUAUUAUGUAACAUAAUCCUGAAACUGUCAUCUCCUCACAUUUGCCACACAACAUAACCUAAUCAAGGAGUAAUAUCCUAUUACUGUUGUCAUAUUCUAUUGGUUGGAAGCAAGCUGCAGGUCCCAGCCACUCUCAAGGGGAGGAGAUUAUACAGGGCCUAACACUAGAGGGUGGCAUCUCUUGAUCUAAUGGCCUCAUGCCAAGCUCAGAAUGAGUCUACAGUGGCCAAUGUGAUAAACGUAGCGCUGCCAAUAUAACUUCAUUCAGAGGUAGAUUUCAGGGUACCUAGAGGAAUGUGCUAUUUGAAUAUACUUUAGUUAAUUCUCUUUCUUCUUCUUCUUCUUCUUUUUUUUUUUUUUUUUGAGACAGGGUCUUUCUCACUCAGGCUGGAGUGCAGUGGUGCAGUCACGGCUCAGUGUAGCCUUGACCUUCCAGGCUCAAGCGAUCCUCCUACCUCAGCCUCCCGAGUAGCUGGGACUACAGGCAUGCACCACCACAUCCAGCUAAUUUGAAAAAUUGUUUGUAGGGAUGAGGUCUCACUAUGUUACCCAGGGUGGUCUUGAACUCCCAAGCUCAAGUGAUCCUCUUGCCUUGGCCUCCUAAAGUGCCAGGAUUACAGGUGUGAGCCACCACUCCCAGGCCCUUUAGUCAAUUCUUUGAAAAUAUUAUAUCUUCUAAUUAAGUGACAGGUAGAAAUGGAAGUGAUGGCUUGGAGAUGGUUUCAAACUUUGAAUUAAAAAUGAUGAAUGAGAUGCUAAUGAGUAGUAGGCGGUUAUUGGCCUGUACUCACAACUAAGCAACCUUCCUUUUCCUGUUUGUGACCGUGUCAGAUGGGUGAAAUAAGGUGAAUCAGUUAGGUUAUGUUAUGCUAUGUUGUGGUAACAAAUACAUCUCUGAAGUGCAUUGAUUUUGCACCAAAAAAUGCUCGUUUUCUUCUCAUAUAAGGCCUAGUUGUGUCUAAUAGCUUUCUUUGAUUUGUAGUCAUGCCACUUAGAGCAAAUGGUCUCCAAGGUCAAUGUAGCAGAGGAAAAAAACAGCCUUGGAGAAGGCAUACCCACUCAGACCUUCCUCAAAUUGGAACUGGCAUAUUACUUCCGUUUGUGUUCCAUGGAGAAGAGUUAGUCACGUGACACCACUGCUCCAAUGCAUGGGGUUGGGAAACCUGGAGAAGUGCAUGGAUAUUUAGUGAGUGCUGGUCAUCUGUGCUGCAUAAGGACUAGGCUCUUCUUAUAUCUACUGGGAAUUUCUCUCCUGCUACCUUUCUCUUUCUUCUUAACCCUUUAGACCUCUUGCUUUAUGAAACCAUAUCCUUAUGGUACCAGAUUUCCCCUAUUCAGACAAUUCAGUCUUGACUAGAGGAGGCGUCUCUGAGGGUGGGUGAAGUGGCAGAAAAGUAGAAAGGGGAGGGAAAAGGAAAGAAAUAGUUCCUUAGUUGUCACUUCUCAUUUCUCUCCCGCUGCUGGUUUCUUUGCUGCUCCAUUUCUCACGGCCCAGCUCUUGCCGAUGGUUGCAAGUUGGAAGGAGAUUGAAGAGCGGAGAGAAUCUACUCUGCUAUUUAUACUAAGGGACCUCUGCUAUUUUUCCUCCUUCACCUCCCUUUCCUUUCGUUUUAUUUAAUGAACUCCUUUUUCUUUUUUUUUUUGACAGAGUUUUUGCUCUUGUUGCUAAGGCUGGAGUGCAAUGGUGCAAUCUCGGCUCAUUGCAACCUCCACCUCCUGGGUUCAAGCGAUUCUCCUGCCUCAGCCUCCCAGAUAGCUUGGAUUACAGGCACCCACCACCACACCUAGCUAAGUUUUUGUAUUUUUUGUACAGAUGGGAUUUCACCAUGUUGGCCGGGCUGCUCUUCAACUCCUGUCCUCAGGUGAUCCACCCGCCUUGGCCUCCCAAAGUGCUGAGAUUACAUGCAUGAGCCACCGCACCCUAAACUCCUAUUCUACAAAGACAUUUUAACAUGCUUUGUGAGCCAAACACAAGCAGGGUUUGGGUACUGAGAAAUGCAUAGUAGAAGGCAUCAGUGCUCCAAGAACUCUUGGUCACUGGUCAACACCAACAACUGUAAAGUGAUAGAGUGCAAAAUAGAAAUGUUUAAAAAGUGAACAAGUAGAUGAGUGACUUAAUGCUUGACUGAAUAGAAUGCUCAGAACUUCCACAUUGUGUGAAGAGAGGAGGAUUCAUGAGAGUGGAGGCUGGCCUUCUCAGGGUAGCACUGAGUUGGAAGGCAAGUAAAGCCAGUCAAGGGAGAUGCGGAAGUUACAAAUCUCAUUGCCCUUGUGUUAUCUCCAGUCUCUCUCUCACCUCUUUCCUAGCCCCUUGUUUGUUUCUCUCCUACCUUACAACACAGGUCCUGAUCCUACUCACAGCUCUCCCCUCACUCCUUUCCUCAGCCCUCUGGUGCUUGCACAUGGGGUAGAGAUAAAUCAUGCUUCUGCGUGGAGUUUGGGGCUUCAAAUGUGUCUGUGUAUCUGCCACCCCAAAUUGCGACUAUAAUCUGAUCCUAUUUUUUUCAUACAAAUAUUAUGAUAUAGAGUGGGAAAAUGGUAUCAUACUAUGUGUUUAGUACAUGCUAGAUCUUUAUGAUGUAAAAAUAUAUAUAUAUUUUCUGAGAUGGAGUUUCCCUCUUGUUGCCCAGGCUGGAGUGCAAUGGCACAGUCUUGGCCCACUGCAGCCUCUCCCUCCUGGGUUCAAGCAAUUCUCUUGCCUAAGCCUCCCAGGUAGCUGGGAUUACAGGCGCCUGCCACCACACCUGGCUAAUUUUUGUAUUUUUAGUAGAGGCGGGGUUUCACCAUGUUGGCCAGGCUGGUCUUGAACUCCUGACCUCAGGUGAUCGCCCGCCUUGGCCUCCCAAAGUGCUGAGAUUACAGGCAUGAGCCACUGCACCUGGCCAUGAAAACAAUUUUAUAAGGUAAUCUGGAGUCUUAAUUGCCUUUUAAUAACAUUGUUUACUUGGUAGAGAUGAUGUAAUAGAUGAUUAAAUCCCAGAGCAUUGACCUAAAUGAUCUUUGAGGCUCUUUCCAACCUGUAGAGUAUAUGAUUAUGCAGGAAUAUGUACUCUAAAUUCUGAACACAUGGUUUCAAAAUGAGUCUUUGGAACUUAGGGUAUUAUUAAUAGAAGGAUUGCCUGCAAUGUGGCAAGUUCUCAUUUCUUCAAUCUUUCUUCCUUCUUAAGUUUUCACUCAUAACUUAUUCUGUGAUGUUUCUCUACCAUUUCUGCAUGUUAACAUAGGAUUAUUCCUUAAUCCAAAAUUGCUUUUUGAUUAUAAGCAAUUCUGAAUUUCACUAGGUUAAAUAAAUAUGUCUCUAACAAGGUAGAAUGCAUUUCCCAGUGGAUGACAAGGGAAUAUUUUAUUAAUUUGCUUCUAAGUCAUUGAAAUUACUGCAUUAAAAUGUUUAGCUGAUUCUUUUACACUGAUGAAAUAAGAAAUGACUAAUUUUUUAAAUCACUUCCCUAAAUAAAGCAUACCAUCCCUAAUGCAUGUACAACUGGAAUUAAUCUCAAAGAGCAAUCAUAAGUGACAUGCAAAGAGGAUUAUGUGAUUUUCUUUCUUCUUCUUCCUUUUUUUUUUUUUUUUGAGACGGAGUCUCUCUCUGUUGCCCAGGCUGGAGUGCAGUGGCGUGAUCUCAGCUCACUGCAACCUCUGCCUCCCGGGUUCAAGCAAUUCUUCUGCUUUAGCCUCCCCAGUAGCUGGGACUGCAGGUGCGUGCCACCACACCCAGCUAAUUUUUUGUAUUUCUUUUUAGUAGAGAUGGGGUUUCACCAUGUUAGCCAGGAGGGUCUUGAUCUUCUGACCUCGUGAUCUGCCCGCCUCAGCCUCCAAAAUGCUGGGAUUACAGGCAUGAGCCACCAUGCCAGGCCGUGAUUUUCUUACAGUACUUUGUCAACAGGUAUAUUUUCCUGAAGGCAGUUACUUUUGCAUUCAAUUGCUUUUGUGUCACACAUUUUGAUUAUUAAAACAAAGACAACAACAACAGUUUGUAUACCACUUGGGCAUAAUAGUAUUGGAUAGAAUGAGACUUACAGAGGUCAUUAACAUUACCCCCUGCUUCCUUCCAGGCAAUGAGAAUUCAUCUUGUAAUUUCACCCACUCAAGGGCAUGGGCUUCACAAUCUCCUUUGGUAACUGAUUUGAAUAUCUAACAACAGUUUCUGUCAGGAUUUUUUUUUUCUCAAAAAGUACAAAACUGAAAUGCCUCUUGUCUGUUUUUUUUUUUUUUUUUUUUUGCUUUUUCAAGCUUUAAGGAAAAAGAUAAAUGGUUACAAUUCUUCAUAAACUCUUGAGUUUAUAUUUGAGCAUUUUAUUUUAUUUUAUUUUAUUUAUUUUAUUUUAUUUUAUAUUUUAUUUUAUUUUAUUUUUUGAGUGGAGUUUUGCUCUUUUUGCCCAGGCUGGAGUUCAAUGGCAUGAUCUCAGCUCACUGCAACCUCCGCCUCCCAGGUUCAAGUGAUUCUCCUGCCUCAGCCUCCUGAGUAGCUGGGAUUACAGGCAUGCACCACCACGCCCUGCUAAUUUUUGUACUUUUAGUAGAGACGAGGUUUCACCAUGCUGGCCAGGCUGGUCUCAAACUCCUGAUCUCAGGUGAUCCACCCGCCUCGGCCUCCCAAAGUGCUGGGAUUAUGGGCAUGAGCCACUGAACCCGGCCUGAGCCCUUUAUUAAACUCUUCAGACUCAGGUUGCCUUUUGUUCAUUGUUUAUCAUUUUUCUUUAAAAUGAUCCUUGAUCACUUCUUCAAGUUUCUUAGCCAGGGCUAAAUUUAUUAUUACACAUAUUUAGGAAAGAUGCUGCUCAAAGAGAUGAGUGUAGACCUUUGGGAGUAGAUAUUUUCAAAGGAGAGUCUUGGUGAAGGAAAUUUCUGAGGGACUAGGUUUUGGAAAGAGACCAUUAAUGGAGAAUAUUAAUGGCUGCUACUAAAAGGAGGGUGAGUAAUUGGUGCAGGGAAGAGAUAAGUAAAGAAGUAAAUGGACUGAAGUGGCUUAAGUUAAACAAACAAACAUAUUUUAAGUUCAAAGUCAUUCAGAAGGGGGAGUGUAUGGGAUGUGGACUUUGUACAAAAAUGAAAGCCAUUUCGACCCUUGUGAGAAAAGAGUGUAUUUAGAGGCAGAAGGCAAAAUGCACACAGCUUGUGGAUAAAUGACCCAUCUCUGGGAUGAGGAAGGCACAAGUGGUGCUCCGAGAAUCCCCCCAGUGAGCUGAAUUUAUGGUGGUGUGCAAGGCUGAGGACGUUUAUUAGUAAAUAACAAAGAUCGUGUGCUAAUGACCUGAUCACUGGUCCAUAAUCAAUCAGAGGUUGGUCUCUGUGCAUAAUUCUCCUGGGGGAUUGUUAGAAGGAAAUCAUAGCUAAGGCCAGACACUGAUUCACUGGGGGCCCCUUUGUCGUUCAUGGGGGGCAGAUAUUCUAUUUCUGUACAUGUAGAACUUCUCUUUAUUAGGGAAGCAGGAAGGAGUGACUGAAAGACGCUGUGUUUUUCUCUUGUGGUGUGGUUUCUAAAUGCAGUGUAUAUCUGAGUAGAACCAAAUUUAACUAUGAAUAUUUGGGGGAAGGUAAUGAGAUGGUACAUUAUUCCUUUAGCAAAGGUUUUGAUGAGCACAAUGUAUAAUAUAAGUAUCUCCUACUUAAGUACAAAGUAUAUUUACAAAUAUGUUUGUUUAUGUAUAAAGACAGAAUAAUAGAUUUAUAUAUUAUGAGUAGGAGGGUGAUGUGGUUCAUUUGCCAAUCUAUUAAGAAAUAUUAUAAAAUUACACAUUCUUUCAGCCUUUUAAUCUCAAUAUUUAAUAUAUUUCUUGUAUCUUGUACAUAUUAUUUAAUUGUUUUCAUACAAAACUAAAGAUGCUGUUAACUGGUUUGCAUCCAGUAAGAGGCAAUUUGAGGCUAAAUACAUUCUGCUUUCUUCAUAUAAAGUGAGUCUUAUGUUUAUUUCAUCAUACUUCGAAUUGAGGUGGCCUAUGCCUUUUGUCUUUAGUGUUGGAACUCUUGUUUUAUGUUUCCUAUUUAACUUAUAAUGUAACACAUGCAAUAAAAUAGUAUUCGAGAUGCUUUGACAAACUUGGUGUUUUGAUCGAGGUGGCGCUGUUGGUAGAACUGUUGGUAGAACCUGUUGGUGGGCAGGCACAAUGCCACUUUAUCACUGAGCAGUAGAGGCAGGAGAGUCCCUAUCUGUCACAUAAAAGCAGAUUUAGGGGGAUCAAUACAGAGUGCAUGAAAGUGAAGGUUAAGAGAAAGUACAAUACGUAAAAGUCAGGAACUGUCAAUAUGCAAAUCCUCAACUCUGGCAAAACCCCAGAUCACCCAUGAUCCAGUGUGAUGAUAAAAAUAAGCUCCUAAGUACUUUUUUUUUUUUUUAACUUUGGCAUCUUGUGCAACUCAUGAACUAGUAGUGUUUUCCUCCUUAUUAUUAUUAGUGUUAUUAUUCAGCAUUUUGCUACACCCUCCCCUUCUUUCCAACAUCUAAAUACCAGCAAAUAUGUUAUGAGAUGAAAAUGAUGACAUAGCACCUCUUUUCUGUCAGGUAGAAACAUCUACAUUCAAGGUUAUCUGAAGGUAAAAUAUUUACUAAGUUAUUUACUCUGUCUUUCUCCCAGGAGUCAAGGCAGAAUGGGGGUCUCCAACAAGAGUGGCCUGGUACAUCACCAUACGAUGGGGCCUAUGUGUGUCUCUCUUGUGUUUAGCUUCACGCAAGAUGGGGCUUGGAGGUACCUGGGGGCUUAUUUUUGUUGCGUGCCCACCAUUGAUUUUCCUUUCUAGUGUGUGUGAAAUUACAUUUCCCUGCAACUGAAAAUCUGAUUAAUAAAAGUAUGUCAUUAUCUUCCAUAACAACAAAUCCAGACAUAGCUGCUUCCAGACGGAGGGUAGCAGCUCAGUCAUGUCAGUAGGGACAGGGACUGUGUUCAUCCUUCUAGUUCAUCACCCUCAGUCUGCAGGCUUUUAGACCUACUUAAUUGUUGCAGGAUUCCUGCCGAACUGCUGCAGUAUUCUCUUUUUUUUUUGAGACGGAGUCUCACUCUGUCGCCCAGGCUCUGGAGUGCAGUGGCACGAUCUCGGCUCACUGCAAGCUCCGCCUCCCAGGUUCACGCCAUUCUCCUGCCUCAGCCUCCCGAGUAGCUGGGACUACAGGCUCCUGCCACCACGCCCGGCUAAUUUUUUUCUAUUUUUAGUAGAGACGCGGUUUCACUGUGUUAGCCAGGAUGGUCUCGAUCUCCUGACCUCGUGAUCCGCCUGCCUCAGCAUUCCAAAGUGCUGGGAUUACAGGCGUGAGCACCGCGCCUGGCCUGCUGCAGUAUUCUUGGCAUCAAGAUGGUACUCCAAGAUAAGGAGAAGAGGAGAGAAAGAGAAAUUCUCAACUGGCUUUCUUUUCUUUCAACCGGGAAGAAACAUCUCUCCCAAAAACUUCCAUUUUCAUUUCAAUGGCUAGAAACUUGUGACAUGGCAACCCCUUCUUGCAAACUGCAAAAGAGCCUGGAAAAGGAGCAUGUGAACAAACACAACAACAUAGCUGUGACCAGCCUAACCAGUUGCCCUGCACUUUGUGUGUACAUCCCUCCAGAUCUCUACCCCUGCUAGCGUGUUGGCCAGAGCAUCUUUCACUGCUCCUGCCCGGUCAGCUGGGUCCCUUGUGCUGCUGCCACAGCUGCUACUUGCCCAGUGACUUGCCACAGUGGCUGCCCCAUUGUGUUGUCCUAGACACAACUUGACAGCAUUUCCUGAACACACUCUGCUUCCCAUCUCAUGUCCUGGGAGUUCCCUGAUGUCACUAGGGUAAGUGAUGUAAACAGACCCUCACUUCCGGCCCCCUGUGUACAAUCUGGAAGUUUAGGGGAGGAGGUCAACCCAUGGGGUAGACUUUGACUAACAGAAGAUUGAAACUCAUGGAUAGCUUUGCCUUUCUGUCUGUGGCAGGACUGUCCUGGGAGCAGUGGCUGAGAGGCCAUCCCCAUAUGCAGUAGCCAGCUACACCCAUCUCCUGUAUUUUCUGCAUUUCUUUUCCAUCCUUCCCUGCUUAAUCUGUGACCUCAUUCCUGCUUUUUGGAACUAUACUCCCCAACAAAAUAGUAGCACACAAGGCCUUGCCCCAGGCUGUGUUUAAUAAAGACUCUGACUCCA